RNAcentral lists this small RNA (1031 nucleotides) under Pan troglodytes (chimpanzee). Its description in RNAcentral is "retained intron". The record is from RNAcentral. Lineage: Eukaryota; Metazoa; Chordata; Mammalia; Primates; Hominidae.
UCCCGAUGUCCCGGCAUCCAGCAGCAUUAUUUCCCCCUUGUUUUUGCCUCUCCUUAUCCUCAGUAACGUCAUCCUGUUCCCCUGGGAACAACAGCAGGCCUUCAUCUCCUGGCUCAGGACUCCAUGCCAGCAGCCCCACUGCAUCUCAAAAUAACUCCAAAGCAGCAGUGAACUCCACCUCCAGUUUUAACUCUUCAGGAUCUUGGUACCGAUGGAAUCAUCCCACCUACCUCCACUGAGACCAAAAAGUUUCUCCUACUCCACCUGGCCCUGUAUUCCCCCUGGAAGGAAGGGAAUCAUGCCUUCUAUAUACAGACAGAUUGCCUUCAGAAGAGUGGAAGAAAAUCUCCACUAUCAAUGAACCCAGACUCUUGUCUUCUUCAAGAGCAAGGGCCUCUGGAGAUCCAAACUGUGAUUGAACCAAGUGCAGACUCCUAAUGCUCUUGAAAUACACAGCCCCUCCUAGAAGCUUACCAUUUUCACCUUCCUUGCCUAUGCCCUUGCCUUCUAGUUCCAAAUAUUUUAGCCAGCUUCACUGUGGCAAUAGUCUUUCAGAGAAAAGACUUCUUGCUGUUAUUCUCCAACUCAUCCGUGGGCUUCUGGGGACAGCCAUUUGGCUGGGGUGCCAAACACCAGAAGGGGAGAUAAUAGUUUUGACUCUGAGCUUGGCCACAACCCCUGAACUGAUCCCAAAAUCUGUGAAAAGAUUUGAAUCUGAUAUCUCCACCAAAGCCUUGAUGUUUUCUCUGUACAGCUAAGUUUUCUGAUGGACUCUUCAUCUCACCCCAUUUUUUUAACCUCGCCCCCUUUUCUACAAUCAAAUCCAUUCAUUAUUGCGCCCUCCAGGUCCCCUCCUUUUUGCAGAAGGUGUAAAAGAGCUGCCCUUGGUGGGUGCCCUGGGCAUGUUGCAACGCCCGCUGGUGCCCUUCUGUCUGUCCACAUCUGCCUAGGGCUCAGGAGUGCCUGUUCUUUCCCUUCCUCCCUGUGUUUCUCUUUAUCCUGUCCUCUCUCCUUUCUCCUGGCAGCAGAAA